UUACCCAAUCCCGACUCGGGGAGGUAGUGACAAUAAAUACUGAUACAGGGCUCUUUUGGGUCUUGUAAUUGGAAUGAGUACAAUUUAAAUCCCUUAACGAGGAACAAUUGGAGGGCAAGUCUGGUGCCAGCAGCCGCGGUAAUUCCAGCUCCAAUAGCGUAUAUUAAAGUUGUUGUGGUUAAAAAGCUCGUAGUUGAACCUUGGGCCUGGCUGGCCGGUCCGCCUCACCGCGUGUACUGGUCCGGCCGGGCCUUUCCCUCUGUGGAACCCCAUGCCCUUCACUGGGUGUGGCGGGGAAACAGGACUUUUACUUUGAAAAAAUUAGAGUGCUCCAGGCAGGCCUAUGCUCGAAUACAUUAGCAUGGAAUAAUAAAAUAGGACGUGUGGUUCUAUUUUGUUGGUUUCUAGGACCGCCGUAAUGAUUAAUAGGGACAGUCGGGGGCAUCAGUAUUCAAUUGUCAGAGGUGAAAUUCUUGGAUUUAUUGAAGACUAACUACUGCGAAAGCAUUUGCCAAGGAUGUUUUCAUUAAUCAGGAACGAAAGUUAGGGGAUCGAAGACGAUCAGAUACCGUCGUAGUCUUAACCAUAAACUAUGCCGACUAGGGAUCGGACGAUGUUAUUAUUUGACUCGUUCGGCACCUUACGAGAAAUCAAAGUGCUUGGGCUCCAGGGGGA
Molecule: ribosomal RNA, 675 nt
Filed under: uncultured eukaryote
Lineage: Eukaryota
Description: SSU rRNA
Rfam family: Eukaryotic small subunit ribosomal RNA
Source: RNAcentral